UGCCAGCCGCCGCGGUAAUACGGAGGGUGCGAGCGUUAAUCGGAAUUACUGGGCGUAAAGCGCGCGUAGGCGGCGAGAUAAGUCAGAUGUGAAAGCCCCGGGCUUAACCUGGGAAUGGCAUUUGAUACUGUUUAGCUAGAGUGUGACAGAGGAUCGAGGAAUUCCCGGUGUAGCGGUGAAAUGCGUAGAGAUCGGGAGGAACACCAAUGGCGAAGGCAACGGUCUGGGUCAACACUGACGCUGAGGAGCGAAAGCGUGGGUAGCAAACAGGAUUAGAUA
This 279-nucleotide ribosomal RNA is filed under the name uncultured bacterium. RNAcentral's name for it is "partial 16S ribosomal RNA". It matches the Rfam family "Bacterial small subunit ribosomal RNA", at positions 506 to 784 of the family's 1533-position model. The record is from RNAcentral.